AGGGCGCACGGUGGAUGCCUUGGCACUAGAAGCCGAUGAAGGACGUUACUAACGACGAUAUGCUUUGGGGAGCUGUAAGUAAGCUUUGAUCCAGAGAUUUCCGAAUGGGGAAACCCAGCAUGAGUUAUGUCAUGUUAUCGAUAUGUGAAUACAUAGCAUAUCAGAAGGCACACCCGGAGAACUGAAACAUCUUAGUACCCGGAGGAAGAGAAAGAAAAUUCGAUUCCCUUAGUAGCGGCGAGCGAAACGGGAAGAGCCCAAACCAACAAGCUUGCUUGUUGGGGUUGUAGGACACUCUAUACGGAGUUACAAAGGACGACAUUAGACGAAUCAUCUGGAAAGAUGAAUCAAAGAAGGUAAUAAUCCUGUAGUCGAAAAUGUUGUCUCUCUUGAGUGGAUCCUGAGUACGACGGAGCACGUGAAAUUCCGUCGGAAUCUGGGAGGACCAUCUCCUAAGGCUAAAUACUCUCUAGUGACCGAUAGUGAACCAGUACCGUGAGGGAAAGGUGAAAAGCACCCCGGAAGGGGAGUGAAAUAGAACCUGAAACCGUGUGCUUACAAGUAGUCAGAGCCCGUUAAUGGGUGAUGGCGUGCCUUUUGUAGAAUGAACCGGCGAGUUACGAUUUGAUGCAAGGUUAAGCAGUAAAUGUGGAGCCGUAGCGAAAGCGAGUCUGAAUAGGGCGUUUAGUAUUUGGUCGUAGACCCGAAACCAGGUGAUCUACCCUUGGUCAGGUUGAAGUUCAGGUAACACUGAAUGGAGGACCGAACCGACUUACGUUGAAAAGUGAGCGGAUGAACUGAGGGUAGCGGAGAAAUUUCAAUCGAACCUGGAGAUAGCUGGUUCUCUCCGAAAUAGCUUUAGGGCUAGCCUCAAGUGAUGAUUAUUGGAGGUAGAGCACUGUUUGGACGAGGGGCCCCUCUCGGGUUACCGAAUUCAGACAAACUCCGAAUGCCAAUUAAUUUAACUUGGGAGUCAGAACAUGGGUGAUAAGGUCCGUGUUCGAAAGGGAAACAGCCCAGACCACCAGCUAAGGUCCCAAAAUAUAUGUUAAGUGGAAAAGGAUGUGGCGUUGCCCAGACAACUAGGAUGUUGGCUUAGAAGCAGCCAUCAUUUAAAGAGUGCGUAAUAGCUCACUAGUCGAGUGACACUGCGCCGAAAAUGUACCGGGGCUAAACAUAUUACCGAAGCUGUGGAUUGUCCUUUGGACAAUGGUAGGAGAGCGUUCUAAGGGCGUUGAAGCAUGAUCGUAAGGACAUGUGGAGCGCUUAGAAGUGAGAAUGCCGGUGUGAGUAGCGAAAGACGGGUGAGAAUCCCGUCCACCGAUUGACUAAGGUUUCCAGAGGAAGGCUCGUCCGCUCUGGGUUAGUCGGGUCCUAAGCUGAGGCCGACAGGCGUAGGCGAUGGAUAACAGGUUGAUAUUCCUGUACCACCUAUAAUCGUUUUAAUCGAUGGGGGGACGCAGUAGGAUAGGCGAAGCGUGCGAUUGGAUUGCACGUCUAAGCAGUAAGGCUGAGUAUUAGGCAAAUCCGGUACUCGUUAAGGCUGAGCUGUGAUGGGGAGAAGACAUUGUGUCUUCGAGUCGUUGAUUUCACACUGCCGAGAAAAGCCUCUAGAUAGAAAAUAGGUGCCCGUACCGCAAACCGACACAGGUAGUCAAGAUGAGAAUUCUAAGGUGAGCGAGCGAACUCUCGUUAAGGAACUCGGCAAAAUGACCCCGUAACUUCGGGAGAAGGGGUGCUCUUUAGGGUUAACGCCCAGAAGAGCCGCAGUGAAUAGGCCCAAGCGACUGUUUAUCAAAAACACAGGUCUCUGCUAAACCGUAAGGUGAUGUAUAGGGGCUGACGCCUGCCCGGUGCUGGAAGGUUAAGAGGAGUGGUUAGCUUCUGCGAAGCUACGAAUCGAAGCCCCAGUAAACGGCGGCCGUAACUAUAACGGUCCUAAGGUAGCGAAAUUCCUUGUCGGGUAAGUUCCGACCCGCACGAAAGGCGUAACGAUUUGGGCACUGUCUCAACGAGAGACUCGGUGAAAUCAUAGUACCUGUGAAGAUGCAGGUUACCCGCGACAGGACGGAAAGACCCCGUGGAGCUUUACUGUAGCCUGAUAUUGAAAUUCGGCACAGCUUGUACAGGAUAGGUAGGAGCCUUUGAAACGUGAGCGCUAGCUUACGUGGAGGCGCUGGUGGGAUACUACCCUAGCUGUGUUGGCUUUCUAACCCGCACCACUUAUCGUGGUGGGAGACAGUGUCAGGCGGGCAGUUUGACUGGGGCGGUCGCCUCCUAAAAGGUAACGGAGGCGCUCAAAGGUUCCCUCAGAAUGGUUGGAAAUCAUUCAUAGAGUGUAAAGGCAUAAGGGAGCUUGACUGCGAGACCUACAAGUCGAGCAGGGUCGAAAGACGGACUUAGUGAUCCGGUGGUUCCGCAUGGAAGGGCCAUCGCUCAACGGAUAAAAGCUACCCCGGGGAUAACAGGCUUAUCUCCCCCAAGAGUUCACAUCGACGGGGAGGUUUGGCACCUCGAUGUCGGCUCAUCGCAUCCUGGGGCUGUAGUCGGUCCCAAGGGUUGGGCUGUUCGCCCAUUAAAGCGGUACGCGAGCUGGGUUCAGAACGUCGUGAGACAGUUCGGUCCCUAUCCGUCGUGGGCGUAGGAAAUUUGAGAGGAGCUGUCCUUAGUACGAGAGGACCGGGAUGGACAUACCUCUGGUGUACCAGUUGUCGUGCCAACGGCAUAGCUGGGUAGCUAUGUGUGGACGGGAUAAGUGCUGAAAGCAUCUAAGCAUGAAGCCCCCCUCAAGAUGAGAUUUCCCAACUUCGGUUAU
RNAcentral lists this ribosomal RNA (2815 nucleotides) under Staphylococcus aureus. RNAcentral's name for it is "bacterial LSU rRNA". It matches the Rfam family "Bacterial large subunit ribosomal RNA". The record is from RNAcentral. Lineage: Bacteria; Bacillati; Bacillota; Bacilli; Caryophanales; Staphylococcaceae.